AUUUAAGGGCCUGCAGCUGCAAGGGAAGCUUCUCUGCUCCAAGGUUGCUUUCUUUGGAGUAUUUGGUGAGCCCUGAUCCUUGGAAAGGGCAAGAGGGAGGAUGGCCAGGAGAGCUGACAAAAAACUGCCCAAAGGCAAACCAGGAAGUGGCUGGACGUCUUCCUGAUGUCAAGUGGUUGCGGCUCCGGCAGCUCCUUCAGGCCUCAGCUACUGCUGCACCAUGGGCUCUUCCAUGACAGCGCAUGAAGAUCUACUCUGGGGACUGCCUACUCCUCCAUGGACUUCUUCUGUGCUGCAGGGAGCUUCUCUGCACCUGGAGCAGCUCAGUGCAGAAGGAGGGCGUGACCUUGGUAUUUGGAGGGCUGUUUCUCUCACAUUUCUCAGUCCUCUCUCUCAGCUGCUGUUGCACAGCAGUUUUUCACUUUCUUAACUCUGCUCCUUAAUAGAGUCAUCAUACAGUGUCUUGGAUUAGAAGGGACCUCAAGGAUCACCAAGUUCCAACAGCCCUGCCAUAAGCAGGGUUGUCAAGGGUCUACUACUAGAUCAGGUUGCCCAGGGCCCCACCCUACUUUGAGCCUCACAAGGAUAGAGUAGAGAGGGGCAAGCACCUCCCUCAGCCUGCUGGUCCACCCUUCUUCUGAUGCAGCCCAGGAUACCAUUGACCUUCCAGAGGGCAGCUGUGCACUCUGCUUGCUCGUGUUAAGUUUUUCAUCUGCCAGGACUCCUAAAUCCUUCUCAGCAGGGCUACUUUUAAGGAGUUUUUCUCCCAGCCUGUGUAUAUACCUGGGAUUACCUUGACCUAAGUGUAGAAUCUUGCACUUUACUUUGCUGAACCUCAUUAGAUUCAGAUGGGCCCACCUUUUGAGUCUGUUGAGGUCCCUCUGGAUGGCAUCCCUUCCCUUCUAUUGAAUCAACUGCACCACUCAACUUGGUGUCAUUGGCAAACUUGCUAGGGAUGAACUUGAUGCCAUCAUCUAUGUCACUGAUAAAGAAAUUAAAGAAUGCCAGUCUCAAGACAGACCCCUGGGGGUCUGUCACCAGCCUCCACUUGGACAUAGAGCUAUUGAUCACAACCCUCUGGCUGCAAACUUCCAACCAAUUCCAUGUCUACGGAAUACUCCACCAUUCAAAUCCAUCUCUCUCCAAUUUAGAGUUAAGGAUGUGGUGGAGGACCUUGUCAAAGGCUUUGCGGAAGUCUGGGUAGAUUACAUCAAUUGCCUUUCUGGGUGUGCCAUGAGCAUACCCAGCAUUGUUCAUGGCUCAGCUCUGUCAGCAGCAAGUCCCUCUUGGAGCAGCUGAAGCUGUACUCUCUAUAACGACCUGAAGGGAGGUUAUAGUGAGCUGGAGGUCGGCCUCUUCUCUUGUGUGACUAGUGAUAGGACUAGAGGAAAUGGCUUCAAGCUGCACCAGGGAAGGUUCAGGCUGGGCAUUAGGAAAUAUUACUUCUCUGAAAGGGUGGUCAGGCACUGGAAUGGGCUGCCCAGAGAGGUGGUGGAGCCACCGACCCUGGAGGUGUUCAAGGAAUGUUUGGACGUUGUGUUGAGGGGCGUGGUUUAAUGAUGACUAUUGGUGAUGGAUGGAUGGUUGAACUGGGUGAUCCUGUAGGCCUUUUCUAACCUUUGUGAUUCUAUGAUUCUAUACUUCUCUGACACGCGGCAGUGCUAGUCACUGCUCACAGAGAUCACCCCUGCAACUCCCCACCUACAUAAGCCCAAUACCUCGCUACAAAGCAACUUCAGUCAACGCUAAGGGUUUGUAUAUACAUGCGUGUAUGUAUAUUUAUGUGUAAAUACAUAUAUACAUGCUCAUGUAUCCAUGUACAUGUAUAUAUAGCAAAUGUAUAGGUCUAUAUGUUUUUAAGCAAUUUUUUUUUCCUGAAAUAUUUUGUUUACUUUAUAAAUACAUGUGCAUUUGUUUCAAUAUAAC
This is a long non-coding RNA of Gallus gallus (chicken), 1926 nucleotides long. NCBI's taxonomy places the organism in Eukaryota, Metazoa, Chordata, Aves, Galliformes, Phasianidae. The record is from Ensembl.